GAUGAACGCUGGCGGCGUGCCUAAUACAUGCAAGUCGAACGCAGUGGGGACGGGUGAGUAACACGUGGGUAACCUCCCAUCAGAGGGGAUAACACUUGGAAACAGGUGCUAAACCGCUACUUAUAGAUGGAUCCGCGCUGCAUUAGCUAGUUGGUAAGGUAACGGCGUACCAAGGCAACGAAGCAUCGCCGACCUGAGAGGGUGAUCGGCCACACUGGAACUGAGACACGGUCCAGACUCCUACGGGAGGCAGCAGUAGGGAAUCUUCGGCAAUGGACGAAAGUCUGACCGAGCAACGCCGCGUGAGUGAAGAAGGUUUUCGGAUCGUAAAACUCUGUUGGUAGAGAAGCGGUAUCUAAACAGAAAGCCACGGCUAACUACGUGCCAGCCGCCGCGGUAAUAC
RNAcentral lists this ribosomal RNA (403 nucleotides) under uncultured bacterium. Its description in RNAcentral is "partial 16S ribosomal RNA". It matches the Rfam family "Bacterial small subunit ribosomal RNA", at positions 28 to 526 of the family's 1533-position model. The record is from RNAcentral.